ACUAAACAAUCAAACAAACCAAACAAAAAAAAAUCAAAAAUACAAAGAGCAAUACCAAUGAUUCCCCCUGAUAUGAAUUUUUCAUGAUUUUUUUCAAUGUAAACGUGAGCAUUUAUUCCCCUUCUUCAUCACCUCUCUCCAUAAUACGUACGUGGGCUACCUAGCAAACAAACAGCCAUCCAUUCAAAAAGAAGUGUCGUUUCUCUCUUUUUUUUUUUUUUUUUUUUUUUUAUUUAAAAAAAAAAAAAAAAAAAUAUAUAAUCU
This 264-nucleotide non-coding RNA is filed under the name Platyophrya macrostoma. The record is from RNAcentral. Lineage: Eukaryota; Ciliophora; Colpodea; Cyrtolophosidida; Platyophryidae.